Molecule: long non-coding RNA, 1562 nt
Filed under: Triticum aestivum (bread wheat)
Lineage: Eukaryota; Viridiplantae; Streptophyta; Magnoliopsida; Poales; Poaceae
Description: long non-coding RNA (TAES_LNC028656)
Source: RNAcentral
AAGAUUUUAGUGUAGCCUAUAUGCCUUACCAGGUUCAAGUUCUGCCCACGAAAAACAAGAUUUUAGGGCUUCAAGAAUAUCUGCAACAAGUACUAUUAAUUUUCAACAUUAACACUUUGAAACAAUUGUGAAAUCAAUAAUUAGUUUGACAUCCUGUUUUGUUUCUGGAGAGCACUUGGGCGAACUAAAAGAUUGUGACACACUGAAAUGUAGUAGUACAUUGCAUGAUAAGCUGACGAUCCCAGGUUUUACAUGCACUUUCACAAACCAAAGUAAGACACCAGUAAUUCCCCUUGAGCUGCUCCACAAACUCGUCCAAGUGAGGACCCGCCCCUUCCUUAUACUGGUCAAGGCAGGAGCUUCUGUUUCCUGUGCAAAUUGCCGAGCCGGCACAAGAACCUGCUAUUCCCCUGGUUCUGUAGACUUGUGAAUCCUAGUAUACCAAUUACCAAGAUAGAGAUAACAAAAAAAAAGUUAGAGAUAACAAAAGCAUUUCGUUUUCAGUGUGAAAACUAAUGGCAAGAUCUCAUGUAGUGUAUAAAGAAUUAAAGAUGUUUCUCCAGUGAGGCCUUCUACAAUGUACAUAACAAGUAGUCGUAUUAAGCGGCAUAUAAAGAUGUUUGUUUCUGUAUACUAGUCCAUUUUUUUCAGGCUCUCAUUUUAUUAAGCAGCGUAAAGCACUGUCACUUGUCUAAAGGCCAAUUACUCAAGACUUGGCCCAACACUUUAGCCAACAGUAAUUGAAAGAGAGACCUUAAUACUGUAGAAAGAUACUAUUAAGCUGGUGAGCAUGUCCAUAUAUGACACAAACCAUUCUUUUUGCUAGGAGUUCAGAAGGCAUCUUUCAAUGGAGCUCAGUUGCUCGGCGUUGCCCUCGCCGUAAGUCCAGAACUGGCUCGGUUCCUAUUUGAACGAACAAUUAGAAGAACAACAUUCACUAGAGCAGUGUGACGGAUUGAUUCAGAAAGAAAAGAAAUCUUGCAAACACGCAGACGCCAGUUAGAACAGCAGUGAUAGUACUGCACCAUACAUAUGCCUUGACAGCUUGAAUUUCAAUCCUAACUAAUAUCAUCAGCUAAUUUUCGGAAUCUCCAACCCAGAUUUGAAUGGAGGACGGCUCCUCAGCUACAAACCUGCGUUUCCAAACCAGUCUUCGAGUCGUCCUAGCCGAAGUCGCGUGCAUCGCCGGCUCGGACGCCACGCGAAAGUGGAUUGGAGGAGCUACCAUCUACCACUUCAGAUCUGGAAAAGGGGGGAUCAGGUCGGUAGCAGAACUUAGGUGAGAAUCGAGGUAUAUUUCCACCGGAUCCGAUGAACUAUGUGGACACUAACCUGGAGCUUCCCUCAAAAUCCAGAUCGAUGACGAUCGACGCCGGGAUGAUGAUACCAUGAGCGGCGACAGUCUCCUCUAUUCCUUCCAGCGGUGAUGCAUGGCGAUGGUGGAGUUCGACGCGUCCUUUUAUCAUCUCCGCCGAUCUCAGUGGACUCCAUCGGCAGCUAUGACGGGUGUUUGGGCAGAGUCUAUUCUGUGCGGGUAGGUGGGUGGGGUUGAGGACGCGGGC